RNAcentral lists this ribosomal RNA (406 nucleotides) under uncultured bacterium. Its description in RNAcentral is "partial 16S ribosomal RNA". It matches the Rfam family "Bacterial small subunit ribosomal RNA", at positions 30 to 526 of the family's 1533-position model. The record is from RNAcentral.
AUUGAACGCUAGCGGGAGGCUUUACACAUGCAAGUCGAACGAGUGGCGGACGGGUGAGUAAUAUCUCGGAAAGUGCCCAGUGGAGGGGGAUAACUACUGGAAAAGGUAGCUAAUACCGCAUACUAUUGGAGAGGCCCAGAUUGGAUUAGCUGGUUGGUGGGGUAACGGCUCACCAAGACAACGAUCCCUAGCUGGUCUGAGAGGAUGACCAGCCACACUGGGACUGCGACACGGUCCAGACUCCUACGGGAGGCAGCAGUGGGGAAGUUUGCACAAUGGGCGAAAGCCUGAUGCAGCCAUCCCGCGUGUGUGAUGAAGGCCUUCGGGUUGUAAAGUACUUUCUGCGGAGAGGCGGUACCCGCAGAAUAAGCACCGGCUAACUCCGUGCCAGCAGCCGCGGUAAUUC